Molecule: ribosomal RNA, 434 nt
Filed under: uncultured bacterium
Lineage: Bacteria
Description: bacterial SSU rRNA
Rfam family: Bacterial small subunit ribosomal RNA
Source: RNAcentral
GUCGAGAAUAUUCGACAAUGGGCGAAAGCCUGAUCGAGCGACGCCGCGUGCAGGAAGAAGGCCUUAGGGUUGUAAACUGCUUUUGCGCGAGAAGAACCCGCAAGGGUGACACCAUCGCGCGAAUAAGAAGAUGCUAACUCUGUGCCAGCAGCAGCGGUAAUACAGAGUCUUCAAGCGUUAUCCGGAUUUAUUGGGCGUAAAGCGUCUGUAGGCGGUCCGUAAAGUUUUUCGUCAAAUAUCCGGGGCUCAACCCCGGAAAUGCGGAAAAAACUAACGGACUUGAGGGCGUUAGGGGCCGGCGGAACGUACGGUGUAGGGGUGAAAUCCGUUGAUAUCGUACGGAACACCAAAAGCGAAGGCAGCCGGCUGGAACGGUCCUGACGCUGAGAGACGAAAGCGUGGGGAGCAAAAAGGAUUAGAAACCCCGGUAGUCC